GACGAACGCUGGCGGCGUGCUUAACACAUGCAAGUCGAACGGAAAGGCCCUGCUUUUGUGGGGUGCUCGAGUGGCGAACGGGUGCGUAACACGUGAGUAACCUGCCCUUGACUUUGGGAUAACUUCAGGAAACUGGGGUUAAUACCGUAUAGGAGCUCCUGCUGCAUGGUGGGGGUUGGAACGUUUCGGCGGUAGGGGAUGGACUCGCGGCUUAUCAGCUUGUUGGUGGGGUAGUGGCUUACCAAGGCUGUGACGGGUAGCCGGCCUGAGAGGGUGACCGGCCACAUUGGGACUGAGAUACGGCCCAGACUCCAACGGGAGGCAGCAGUGGGGAAUAUUGCACAGUGGGCGGAAGCCUGAUGCAGAAACGCCGCGUGCGGGAUGACGGCCUUCGGGUUGUAAACCGCUUUCGCCUGUGACGAAGCGUGAGUGACGGUAAUGGGUAAAGAAGCACCGGCUAACUACGUG
Molecule: ribosomal RNA, 468 nt
Filed under: uncultured bacterium
Lineage: Bacteria
Description: partial 16S ribosomal RNA
Rfam family: Bacterial small subunit ribosomal RNA
Source: RNAcentral